CGGACGGGUGAGUAACACGUGGAUAACCUACCUAUAAGACUGGGAUAACUUCGGGAAACCGUAGCUAAUACCGGAUAAUAUUUUGAACCGCAUGGUUCAAAAGUGAAAGACGGUCUUGCUGUCACUUAUAGAUGGAUCCGCGCUGCAUUAGCUAGUUGGUAAGGUAACGGCUUACCAAGGCAACGAUGUAUAGCCGACCUGAGAGGGUGAUCGGCCACACUGGAACUGAGACACGGUCCAG
Molecule: ribosomal RNA, 241 nt
Filed under: uncultured Staphylococcus sp.
Lineage: Bacteria; Bacillati; Bacillota; Bacilli; Caryophanales; Staphylococcaceae
Description: partial 16S ribosomal RNA
Rfam family: Bacterial small subunit ribosomal RNA
Source: RNAcentral